This 230-nucleotide ribosomal RNA is filed under the name uncultured bacterium. Its description in RNAcentral is "partial 16S ribosomal RNA". It matches the Rfam family "Bacterial small subunit ribosomal RNA", at positions 111 to 334 of the family's 1533-position model. The record is from RNAcentral.
UAACACGUGGGUAACCUGCCCAUCAGAGGGGGAUAACAUUCGGAAACGGAUGCUAAAACCGCAUAGGUCCUUUAACCGCAUGGUUGAAGGAGGAAAAGAGGCGCAAGCUUCUGCUGAUGGAUGGACCCGCGGUGCAUUAGCUAGUUGGCGAGGUAACGGCUCACCAAGGCCGUGAUGCAUAGCCGACCUGAGAGGGUGAUCGGCCACAUUGGGACUGAGACACGGCCCAA